Molecule: ribosomal RNA, 1053 nt
Filed under: uncultured bacterium
Lineage: Bacteria
Description: bacterial SSU rRNA
Rfam family: Bacterial small subunit ribosomal RNA
Source: RNAcentral
GGUUGAUCGGCCACAUUGGGACUGAGACACGGCCCAAACUCCUACGGGAGGCAGCAGUAGGGAAUCUUCCACAAUGGGCGAAACCCUAAUGGAGCAACGCCGCGUGGGUGAAGAAGGUCUUCGGAUCAUAAAACCCUGUUGUUAGAGAACAAACAAGCGUGAGAGUAACUGUUCACGUUUCGAAAAAAUCUAACCAGAAAGCCACGGCUAACUACGUGCCAGCAGCCGCGGUAAUACGUAGGUGGCAAGCGUUAUCCGGAUUUAUUGGGCGUAAAGGGAACGCAGGCGGUCUUUUAAGUCUGAUGUGAAAGCCUUCGGCUUAACCGGAGUAGUGCAUUGGAAACUGGGAGACUUGAGUGCAGAAGAGGAGAGUGGAACUCCAUGUGUAGCGGUGAAAUGCGUAGAUAUAUGGAAGAACACCAGUGGCGAAAGCGGCUCUCUGGUCUGUAACUGACGCUGAGGUUCGAAAGCGUGGGUAGCAAACAGGAUUAGAUACCCUGGUAGUCCACGCCGUAAACGAUGAAUGCUAAGUGUUGGAGGGUUUCCGCCCUUCAGUGCUGCAGCUAACGCAAUAAGCAUUCCGCCUGGGGAGUACGACCGCAAGGUUGAAACUCAAAGGAAUUGACGGGGGCCCGCACAAGCGGUGGAGCAUGUGGUUUAAUUCGAAGCAACGCGAAGAACCUUACCAGGUCUUGACAUCUUUUGGCAAUCCUAGAGAUAGGACUUUCCCUUCGGGGACAAAAUGACAGGUGGUGCAUGGUUGUCGUCAGCUCGUGUCGUGAGAUGUUGGGUUAAGUCCCGCAACGAGCGCAACCCUUAUUGUUAGUUGCCAGCAUUAAGUUGGGCACUCUAGCAAGACUGCCGGUGACAAACCGGAGGAAGGUGGGGAUGACGUCAAAUCAUCAUGCCCCUUAUGACCUGGGCUACACACGUGCUACAAUGGACGGUACAACGAGUCGCAAGACCGCGAGGUUUAGCAAAUCUCUUAAAGCCGUUCUCAGUUCGGAUUGUAGGCUGCAACUCGCCUACAUGAAGUCGGAAUCGCUAGUAAUC